Molecule: ribosomal RNA, 492 nt
Filed under: uncultured bacterium
Lineage: Bacteria
Description: partial 16S ribosomal RNA
Rfam family: Bacterial small subunit ribosomal RNA
Source: RNAcentral
AGUGAACGCUGGCGGUAGGCCUAACACAUGCAAGUCGAACGGCAGCACAGUAAGAGCUUGCUCUUACGGGUGGCGAGUGGCGGACGGGUGAGGAAUACAUCGGAAUCUACUUUUUCGUGGGGGAUAACGUAGGGAAACUUACGCUAAUACAGCAUACGACCUACGGGUGAAAGCAGGGGAUCUUCGGACCUUGCGCGAUUGAAUGAGCCGAUGUCGGAUUAGCUAGUUGGCGGGGUAAAGGCCCACCAAGGCGACGAUCCGUAGCUGGUCUGAGAGGAUGAUCAGCCACACUGGAACUGAGACACGGUCCAGACUCCUACGGGAGGCAGCAGUGGGGAAUAUUGGACAAUGGGCGCAAGCCUGAUCCAGCCAUACCGCGUGGGUGAAGAAGGCCUUCGGGUUGUAAAGCCCUUUUGUUGGGAAAGAAAAGCAGCAGGUGAAUACCCCGCUGUUCUGACGGUACCCAAAGAAUAAGCACCGGCUAACUUCGUG